Long non-coding RNA from Humulus lupulus (European hop), 423 nucleotides. RefSeq lists it as uncharacterized. The record is from RefSeq and is a predicted model, not a curated record. The transcript has 3 exons. NCBI's taxonomy places the organism in Eukaryota, Viridiplantae, Streptophyta, Magnoliopsida, Rosales, Cannabaceae.
AAGGAUGACAUACUUCAGUUUGCUCGAAAGGAGAAGAUUGGACAAGCAGUACUCGUCAGCUACAUGAGGUUCAUUUACAGAUAUGUGGUACAACAAGGUCGCCAAAAUAAGUUUUUAUUUGUCAAUCCUAAUAUCGUCGCCACUUAAGGGAGUUCAUUCGACGAUCGUGUUCAGAAUCUGUUCAGACGUUGCAAUGACGUAAAAUCAAAAGAACAAGUUAUGCUUGUCCCUUGGAACCAUGGUGAACAUUGGAUGUUGCUUAUUUUGGCACCAUAUGCAUAUCAUGUUUAUUGUUGUGAUCCGGUGAAUUCAGAGCUAAAUAACCGUGAGGAGAUUGUAUCAGUGAUCGUCAGCGCUUUCAAUCUUUUUUUCUCUAUGAAUCUUCCUGAUGUCGAGAUCCCUGAUACUCUACGCAUUAAGCAA